AAGUCGUAACAAGGUUUCCGUAGGUGAACCUGCGGAAGGAUCAUUAUCGAGUUUGAAAGGAGUUGAUGCUGGCCUUCCGAGGCAUGUGCUCGCUCCUGUCAGAUCCAACCAACACCUGUGCACAUCAGAGGGCGCGAGUGGUCUGUCCCUUGCCAACGGGCCUCGAUUCCUCUGCGGGUCGAGGCUUGGAGGGGCGGAUCCUGGCGACCUCCUUCGCAUCACAAACUCUUGAACGUAUCCAGAACGUGUAGCAGCCCUCGUGUGGGGCAGUCUUAAUACAA
RNAcentral lists this unclassified non-coding RNA (281 nucleotides) under plant metagenome. RNAcentral's name for it is "partial contains small subunit ribosomal RNA and internal transcribed spacer 1". The stretch from base 1 to 46 matches the Rfam family "Eukaryotic small subunit ribosomal RNA", at positions 1786 to 1831 of the family's 1831-position model. The record is from RNAcentral.